UACAGAGUAGAGUGCCCUGCGUUAAGUGUCUGUCAGACGGGGAGUUGCUGACAGGACGAAAAGCAUGUAUGCUUGCGGUUCGGUGCUCGCAUCCCGCUGAA
Molecule: non-coding RNA, 101 nt
Filed under: Hominimerdicola alba
Lineage: Bacteria; Bacillati; Bacillota; Clostridia; Eubacteriales; Oscillospiraceae
Also listed under: 1 other name
Description: Ruminococcus albus THF-I sequence
Rfam family: THF (Tetrahydrofolate) riboswitch aptamer
About the family: THF riboswitch presents a pseudoknot that joins P1-P2 and the loop of P3 and two THF binding.
Source: RNAcentral